AUAGUACUUCCUCCGUCCCAAAAUUCUUGUCUUAGAUUUAUCUAGAUACGGAUGUAUCAAGUCACGUUUUAGAUACAUCCGUAUCUAGACAAAUCUAAGACAAGAAUUUUGGGACGGAGGGAUUACAAG
Molecule: non-coding RNA, 129 nt
Organism: Triticum aestivum (bread wheat)
Lineage: Eukaryota; Viridiplantae; Streptophyta; Magnoliopsida; Poales; Poaceae
Source: Rfam